AUUGAACGCUGGCGGUAUGCUUAACACAUGCAAGUCGAACGAUGAGAAAGAGCUUGCUCUUUCGAUUAGUGGCGGACGGGUGCGUAACGCGUAGGAAUCUACCUAUUAGUGGGGGACAACUUAGGGAAACUUAAGCUAAUACCGCAUACGCCCUACGGGGGAAAGAAGGGGAUCGCAAGACCUUUUGCUAAUAGAUGAGCCUGCGUAGGAUUAGCUAGUUGGUGGGGUAAAAGCUCACCAAGGCGACGAUCCGUAACUGGUUUGGGAGAAUGAUCAGUCACAGUGGAACUGGGACACGGUGCAGACUCCUCCGUGAGGCAGCAGUGGGGAAUAUUGGACAAUGGGCGAAAGCCUGAUCCAGCAAGACGGCGUGUGUGAAGAAGGCCUUAGGGUUGUAAAGCACUUUCAAUUAGAAGGAAAACCUCGAAGCUAAUACCUUCGAGUUUGACAUUACCUUUAGAAGAAGCACCGGCUCACUCCGUGCCAGCAGCCGCCGUAA
This 499-nucleotide ribosomal RNA is filed under the name uncultured bacterium. RNAcentral describes it as "partial 16S ribosomal RNA". It matches the Rfam family "Bacterial small subunit ribosomal RNA", at positions 30 to 523 of the family's 1533-position model. The record is from RNAcentral.